This 375-nucleotide ribosomal RNA is filed under the name uncultured organism. RNAcentral's name for it is "bacterial SSU rRNA". It matches the Rfam family "Archaeal small subunit ribosomal RNA", at positions 476 to 851 of the family's 1478-position model. The record is from RNAcentral.
CCAGCAUCCCGAGUGGUCGGGACGAUUAUUGGGCCUAAAGCAUCCGUAGCCGGUUUUACAAGUCCUCCGUUAAAUCCAGCUGCUUAACAGAUGGGCUGCGGAGGAUACUAUAAGACUAGGAGGCAGGAGAGGCAAGCGGUACUCAGUGGGUAGGGGUAAAAUCCGUUGAUCCAUUGAAGACCACCAGUGGCGAAGGCGGCUUGCCAGAAUGCGCUCGACGGUGAGGGAUGAAAGCUGGGGGAGCAAACCGGAUUAGAUACCCGGGUAGUCCCAGCUGUAAACGAUGCAGACUCGGUGAUGGACUAGCUUUAUGCUAGUCCAGUGCCGCAGGGAAGCCGUUAAGUCUGCCGCCUGGGUAGUACGGUCGCAAGACUG